UAGUCCACGCUGUAAACGAUGAGUGCAAGGUGUUGGGGGUCAAACCCCGGUGCCGCCGUUAACACAGUAAGCACUCCGCCUGGGGAGUACGUACGCAAGUAUGAAACUCAAAGGAAUUGACGGGGACCCGCACAAGUAGCGGAGCAUGUGGUUUAAUUCGAUGCAACGCGAAGAACCUUACCUACUCUUGACAUCCACAGAACUUUCCAGAGAUGGAUUGGUGCCUUCGGGAACUGUGAGAC
This 242-nucleotide ribosomal RNA is filed under the name uncultured bacterium. Its description in RNAcentral is "partial 16S ribosomal RNA". It matches the Rfam family "Bacterial small subunit ribosomal RNA", at positions 791 to 1035 of the family's 1533-position model. The record is from RNAcentral.